CUUCCUUAAAUAACCAAAUCAACAAUCCCCCUCUUACCAAACUUUUGAAAAAUUCCAAAAAUUAAUUUUCUCUUGAUUAAUUUUGCACUAAUUAAAAGGCAAAACGAUUACAUAUGAACUCACUACAAUUACAAAGCCUGCAGCAGAUUAAGAGUAAUAAAAUAUGCAUACAUUGUUGAUAAUAGCGUCUUCAUCAAGUUUGUAUUUAACUCCCCAAAUACUGUCGCUUGUAGCGAUAUAUGUUCUUCCCUUCUUCUAUUCUUAAGUAAUAGCCAAAAGAUUUAAAGUAAAAGAACCUUUGGGAGGAAAAAAAGAUCUUUC
RNAcentral lists this long non-coding RNA (321 nucleotides) under Nicotiana benthamiana. RNAcentral describes it as "long non-coding RNA (NBEN_LNC040320)". Lineage: Eukaryota; Viridiplantae; Streptophyta; Magnoliopsida; Solanales; Solanaceae. The record is from RNAcentral.